AGGAAAGUAGGGGAUCGCAAGACCUUGCGCUUUUGGAGCGGCCGAUGUCUGAUUAGCUAGUUGGUGAGGUAAAGGCUUACCAAGGCUUCGAUCAGUAGCUGGUCUGAGAGGACGACCAGCCACACUGGGACUGGGACACGGCCCAGACUCCUACGGGAGGCAGCAGUGGGGAAUUUUGGACAAUGGGGGAAACCCUGAUCCAGCCAUGCCGCGUGAGUGAAGAAGGCCUUCGGGUUGUAAAGCUCUUUCAGCCGGAACGAAAAGGUUACGGUUAAUACCCGUGACUAAUGACGGUACCGGAAGAAGAAGCACCGGCUAACUACGUGCCAGCAGCCGCGGUAAUACGUAGGGUGCGAGCGUUAAUCGGAAUUACUGGGCGUAAAGCGUGCGCAGGCGGUUUUGUAAGUCAGAUGUGAAAUCCCCGGCGCUCAACCUGCGGAACUGCCGUUUGAAAUCUACCAGUGCU
RNAcentral lists this ribosomal RNA (466 nucleotides) under uncultured beta proteobacterium. RNAcentral's name for it is "bacterial SSU rRNA". It matches the Rfam family "Bacterial small subunit ribosomal RNA", at positions 190 to 642 of the family's 1533-position model. Lineage: Bacteria; Pseudomonadati; Pseudomonadota; Betaproteobacteria. The record is from RNAcentral.